Non-coding RNA from Passer montanus (Eurasian tree sparrow), 1089 nucleotides. The record is from the annotation of a RefSeq genome assembly. NCBI's taxonomy places the organism in Eukaryota, Metazoa, Chordata, Aves, Passeriformes, Passeridae.
UUUGGGAAUGGAACUCAACUGACCGUGGAGCCAAAUAUUUCAAAAUCUUCUGACCCUCAAGUCAUUGUGAUGAAAUCACAGAAACUGGAAGAAGGCAACAGCACUGGGAAAGCAGCUUGUUUGGCAAGGAACUCCCCUACAAAGAACAUCAGCUUGGAGAUGCCCUCUCAGGAGGUCGUCUAUGAACAGGGCACAUCCAUUUUGACAUCAGAGGGGUUGUACAAUGCAAUUAAAGUGGUCAGGCUGACAAAAGACACAGAGGUGACCUGCAUGGCCAAAUUCAACAACCGCGCCAUAACAGCACAGCCAGAGGAGGAGGCUGAAGAACCAGUAACAGGGGCCAGUGUCAGGAUUUGCAGCAGCACAGCCUCCUCAGCACAAGACCCUGAAGAGCAGAGAGUGAACAUGCUGUCCAUGGCUGUGCUGGGUUUGAGAGUUUUGCUGGCAAAGAGCAUCGCCUUCAAUAUCCUCAUGAGUAUCAAAUUGGUUCUUUUCUGAGACAUGGGGAAUGAAGCCCAAGGAGAGCAGGAAAGAAUGUGAACCAGCAGCACAAGGGGGUGGAACAAGCAGGGGCAGAGCUGCUGGCAGACACCACCCAGGACACAAGGCAGCACCUUCCCCUGAAGACACUGAACACUCUUCACUCCUGCCUGGCCAGCUGAUUUACACUGAAGAGUUUCAAGUGCUUUUGCUCUUUCCUCUCCUCUGACAACUGAGGAGAGUGGAUUUCUCCUCAUCCUCCUGCUAAGCAGAUCUCCCCACUCUUCUGGCAUUUGCACACAAGUGUCCAACCUGCUUCAACAGCUUUGGAAACUCCAGGGCUCACUCUAGAUAGAUGGCCUUUUAAAAGCACCUUUCCAGGCUUGCUGUGUUUCUGCCUGUGGAACUGGAGUAGCACUGCUGAGGCAAUUCAAGCCCAGUAGCUGCCAUUUGUAGCUUUGCAUUUAGAUAGAUUUAAUAACAAAAAAUGUGAAUUGCAAUUAAGAAGAGCUCUGUAGAAUCUGGAGUGAUUUCAUUCAACUAGAUAUUGUUCAUUUCUUGAUUAAGCCUUUAUUUCCUCUGUCAAAUGUAUUACAUGUGAAUUUUAGG